CUCAUUUUUGUUAGCCUAAGUCUCUUGUGGAUUAAACAUGUGUAUCUCUGAUUUAAAGUGUUAUGCAUGUAAGUUGUGAUUUUGAAAAAAUACUGUCCUACUUUGCUGGAAUGUGAUGCUAUUUCUCCUUCCCCUUUCCUACCAUGGAGGAUCUGAAGAAGCUGAGGAAAAGCAGAACAGUGAAAACCUACUUUUAGAGCUAUGAGUACUACUUUAGUUAACAGUGAAAAACCCUUCUGGAAAGUCACCGGAGGAAAAAGGACUAGAGAUGCGUUCUCCCUAUUGAAGGCUGAAAUGCUGACCUCCAGUGCUGACUUCACUGGACGGCUAACAAAGAAUUUAUUCAUCCUAAUACCUCACAGACACUGUCCCACAUCCACGUACAUCUAGUAGCCUGCCUGUGGCUGUAAGAUAAAGAACUGAUCUGUCUUGUAUUCAGUGAGACCGAGUCUGUUUGUUAAUGAAUCCUUGCAGAAAAGACUUGUGCUGCGUUCCUUAUAAAAGACUUCUUCAUAUAUUGGAAUGACACUGGUUUAGUAAGCAAAGUAUAUUGUCAUUUUGAUACACAGAUUGGAAAAUUUCUUUCAUGUCUCAUAUUCUCUUCUAUUUUUAUUUUAACCCCUACAUUUCCCUUGUGUUUUUUAACUCAUGCAUGUGCGCUCUUCAUACAAUUUUAAAAAGUAAUAAAAUCCAACAUAUAAAAAUGAUUAGUUUUAUUUUCUUUGUUUUGCAUUAUGUAUUUGGCCAA
RNAcentral lists this long non-coding RNA (748 nucleotides) under Equus asinus (donkey). RNAcentral describes it as "lncRNA (ENSEASG00005037821.1)". Lineage: Eukaryota; Metazoa; Chordata; Mammalia; Perissodactyla; Equidae. The record is from RNAcentral.